UACGCCGCCGCCUUCAGCGCCGCGAAUCCUCGCUCAAGAUCGGCCUUCAGGUCGUCAAGAUUUUCCAGACCGAUGUGGAAACGCAGCGUCGGCCCGCCCGGAUUCCAUGUUGUAGCCGUGCGAUAGGACGCGCAGUCGAACGGAAUCACGAGGCUCUCGAAGCCGCCCCACGAAUAGCCCAUGCCGAACAGCGUGACCGUG
Molecule: unclassified non-coding RNA, 201 nt
Filed under: Hevea brasiliensis (rubber tree)
Lineage: Eukaryota; Viridiplantae; Streptophyta; Magnoliopsida; Malpighiales; Euphorbiaceae
Source: RNAcentral